This 391-nucleotide unclassified non-coding RNA is filed under the name soil metagenome. RNAcentral's name for it is "partial contains 5.8S ribosomal RNA, internal transcribed spacer 2, and large subunit ribosomal RNA". The stretch from base 1 to 122 matches the Rfam family "5.8S ribosomal RNA", at positions 35 to 154 of the family's 154-position model. The record is from RNAcentral.
GAUGAAGAACGUAGCGAAAUGCGAUACUUGGUGUGAAUUGCAGAAUCCCGUGAACCAUCGAGUCUUUGAACGCAAGUUGCGCCCGAAGCCAUUAGGCCGAGGGCACGCCUGCCUGGGCGUCACACGUCGUUGCCCCCCCAUCUACUCCUUCGGGAUUGCAGGGGGCGGAUGAUGGCCUCCCGUGCGCCUCGUCGCGCGGUUGGCAUAAAUGCCAAGUCCUCGGCGACGCACGCCACGACAAUCGGUGGUUGCGAAACCUCGGUUGCCCGUCGUGUGCGGUCGUCGCGCAUCGAGGGCUCGAAAAAAUUGUCGGGCUCCGGCUCGGCUUUCAACGCGACCCCAGGUCAGGCGGGGUUACCCGCUGAAUUUAAGCAUAUCAAUAAGCGGAGGA